AGAGUUUGAUCAUGGCUCAGAUUGAACGCUGGCGGCAGGCCUAACACAUGCAAGUCGAACGGUAACAGGAAACAGCUUGCUGUUUCGCUGACGAGUGGCGGACGGGUGAGUAAUGUCUGGGAAACUGCCUGAUGGAGGGGGAUAACUACUGGAAACGGUAGCUAAUACCGCAUAACGUCGCAAGACCAAAGAGGGGGACCUUCGGGCCUCUUGCCAUCGGAUGUGCCCAGAUGGGAUUAGCUAGUAGGUGGGGUAACGGCUCACCUAGGCGACGAUCCCUAGCUGGUCUGAGAGGAUGACCAGCCACACUGGAACUGAGACACGGUCCAGACUCCUACGGGAGGCAGCAGUGGGGAAUAUUGCACAAUGGGCGCAAGCCUGAUGCAGCCAUGCCGCGUGUAUGAAGAAGGCCUUCGGGUUGUAAAGUACUUUCAGCGGGGAUGAAGGGAGUAAAGUUAAUACCUUUGCUCAUUGACGUUACCCGCAGAAGAAGCACCGGCUAACUCCGUGCCAGCAGCCGCGGUAAU
RNAcentral lists this ribosomal RNA (527 nucleotides) under uncultured Gammaproteobacteria bacterium. Its description in RNAcentral is "bacterial SSU rRNA". It matches the Rfam family "Bacterial small subunit ribosomal RNA", at positions 8 to 524 of the family's 1533-position model. Lineage: Bacteria; Pseudomonadati; Pseudomonadota; Gammaproteobacteria. The record is from RNAcentral.